GAUGAACGCUGGCGGCGUGCCUAAUACAUGCAAGUCGAGCGAACAGAUAAGGAGCUUGCUCCUUUGACGUUAGCGGCGGACGGGUGAGUAACACGUGGGUAACCUACCUAUAAGACUGGGAUAACUUCGGGAAACCGGAGCUAAUACCGGAUAAUAUUUCGAACCGCAUGGUUCGAUAGUGAAAGAUGGUUCUGCUAUCACUUAUAGAUGGACCCGCGCCGUAUUAGCUAGUUGGUAAGGUAACGGCUUACCAAGGCGACGAUACGUAGCCGACCUGAGAGGGUGAUCGGCCACACUGGAACUGAGACACGGUCCAGACUCCUACGGGAGGCAGCAGUAGGGAGUCUUCCGCAAUGGGCGAAAGCCUGACGGAGCAACGCCGCGUGAGUGAUGAAGGUCUUCGGAUCGUAAAACUCUGUUAUUAGGGAAGAACAUACGUGUAAGUAACUGUGCACGUCUUGACGGUACCUAAUCAGAAAGCCACGGCUAACUACGUG
This 497-nucleotide ribosomal RNA is filed under the name uncultured bacterium. RNAcentral describes it as "partial 16S ribosomal RNA". It matches the Rfam family "Bacterial small subunit ribosomal RNA", at positions 28 to 507 of the family's 1533-position model. The record is from RNAcentral.